Molecule: ribosomal RNA, 584 nt
Filed under: uncultured bacterium
Lineage: Bacteria
Description: partial 16S ribosomal RNA
Rfam family: Bacterial small subunit ribosomal RNA
Source: RNAcentral
UGGGGAAUUUUGGACAAUGGGCGAAAGCCUGAUCCAGCAAUGCCGCGUGUGUGAAGAAGGCCUUCGGGUUGUAAAGCACUUUUGUCCGGAAAGAAAUCCUUGGCUCUAAUACAGUCGGGGGAUGACGGUACCGGAAGAAUAAGCACCGGCUAACUACGUGCCAGCAGCCGCGGUAAUACGUAGGGUGCAAGCGUUAAUCGGAAUUACUGGGCGUAAAGCGUGCGCAGGCGGUUUGCUAAGACCGAUGUGAAAUCCCCGGGCUCAACCUGGGAACUGCAUUGGUGACUGGCAGGCUAGAGUAUGGCAGAGGGGGGUAGAAUUCCACGUGUAGCAGUGAAAUGCGUAGAGAUGUGGAGGAAUACCGAUGGCGAAGGCAGCCCCCUGGGCCAAUACUGACGCUCAUGCACGAAAGCGUGGGGAGCAAACAGGAUUAGAUACCUUGGUAGUCCACGCCCUAAACGAUGUCAACUAGUUGUUGGGGAUUCAUUUCCUUAGUAACGUAGCUAACGCGUGAAGUUGACCGCCUGGGGAGUACGGUCGCAAGAUUAAAACUUAAAGGAAUUGACGGGGUCAUAGCUGUUCCU